UAAUACUAAUAAAAAUCACAUUCAUAAUUGGGUGUUUUUUUAUUAAAUACACAUUGACGAAAACAAGGAUUUACAUUGUCUUAAGUAGUAAUAGUAGCGAUAGCGGUAGCAAUAGUAGUAGUAGUAAUAGUAGUAGUAGUAGUAGUAGUAGUAGUAGUAAAUCAGUUUUUCAUUACAAUACUUCUUUCAUUUAAAUAAUCUUAUGUAUGUAUGUAUGUGUGUAUGUAUGUAUGUAUGUAUGUAUGAGAAAGCUUGUGUGUGUGUAUGGAAACUAAAAAGCAAAUAAAAUAUACAAAAAAAUAACAGAAAAACAAUCACAGUAGUAGUAGUAGUAGUAGUAGUAGUAGUAGUAGUAGUAGAAGUAGUAGUAGUAGGUGGAAAUAGGAAGUAGGCGAUGUUAUAUAUGUUUAGAAAGAGGAGAAUGAGGAGAAUCGCGUAGUAGUAGUAGUAGUAGUAGUAGUAGUAGUAGUAGUAGUAGUAGUAGUAGUAGAAGUAGUAGUAGUAGGUGGAAAUAGGAAGUAGGUGAUGUUAUAUAUGUUUAGAAAGAGGAGAAUGAGGAGAAUCGUGUAGUAGUAGUAGUAGUAGUAGUAGUAGUAGUAGUAGUAGUAGUAGUAGUAGUAGUAGUGACCUUAUAAGCUAAAAGAACACUUAUUUAAAUCUACCUUAGGCACAAAAUGACUUAGCAUCACACGAAGGAAUAAAAUAAUAAUAAUAAUAAUAAUAAUAAUAAUAAUAAUAAUAAUAAUAAUAAUAAUAAUAAUAAUAAUAAUAAUAAUAAUAAUAACAAUGACAAAAACAACAAAAGCUUUCCUCCGUGUUAAGAAUAUCGUACAAGAAAAUGACUUAGAGGGGAACACAGUAAUAAUAGCAAUAAUAAUAAUAAUAAUAAUAAUAAUAAUAAUAAUAAAGUAUGGCAGCUUAUCUCUACACCUGUUUUUUUACCUUUAUUUUUGUCAUGGCACCAGUGAAAGGGAAGGAGGAGGAGGAGGAGGAGGAGGAGGAGGAGGAGGAAGAAGAAGAAAACGGAAAAGAAAAAAAGAAAAGGAAGAAAAUUUAUAUGAAAAGGAAGGAAAAUAUCAAGAAAAUAAAGAAAAGAGAGAGAGAGAGAGAGAGAGAGAGAGAGAGAGAGAGAGAGAGAGAGAGAAAUGAAGAAAGGAAAGAAUAGAACAUAAUUUUAAGAAGGAACAGAGAGAGAGAGAAAAAGAAAAGAAAAUGGAGGGAAAAAAAGAGUGGAGAGAAGGAAGGAAGAAGAAGGGAAGGGAAGGAAAAAGGAGAGGAAAAAAACGGAGAUAAAAAGAAAGGAAAAGAAAAGAGAAAAAAAAGAAAAAUAAAUGAAGAAAAAGGUCAGGUAAGGUAAGGUUAGGUAAGGUCACGUAAGGUAAGGUAAGGUUAGGUAAGGUCACGUAAGGUAAGGUAAGGUUAGGUAAGGUAAGGUCAGGUAAGGUAAGGUCACGUAAGGUAAGGUCACGUACGGUAAGGUAAGGUAAGGUAAGGUAAGGUAUGGUAAGGUAAGGUUAGGUAAGGUAAGGUUAGGUUAGGUAAGGUCAGGUAGGGUAAGGUCAGGUAAGGUAAGGUAAGGUAAGGUUAGGUAAGGUAAGGAAAGGUUAGGUAAGGUAAGGUUAGAUAAGGUUAGGUAAGGUAAGGUCAGGUAAGGUAAGGUUAGGUAAGGUAAGGUUCAUUAGGGUAACACAAAGGUAAGCUCCAGUAAGGCAGGGCAGGUGUGUUUGGCUAAUUAGAACUGUCCACCUGUGCUCUCUCUCUCUCUCUCUCUCUCUCUCUCUCUCUCUCUCUCUCUCUCUCUCUCUCUUAAAAUUACUGUACAAUGUGAAAGUUUGUGAGAUAAAAUUAAGAAAGUUAAGAAAGGAAGGAAGAAAGAAAGAAAGGAAGGAAGAAAGAAAGAAAGAAAGAAAGAAAGAAAGAAAGAAAGAAAGGAAGGAAGGAAGGAAGGAAGGAAGGAAGGAAAGAAAGAAAGAAAGAAAGAAAGAAAGAAAGAAAGAAAGAAAGGAAGGAAAGAUAAAUAAAGAGAAAAAUUUGACAUAAGUAAAAACAGAAUAAAAAGAAAAGAUAGAAAAAGAAAUAAGACAAAGAGAAAGAAAAAAAAACAUAGAGAAUAUAAAUAAAAGAGAAAAAUUAGUUAAUGAGAAAAUAAAGAAAACGAUUGAGAAAGAAAAAAAGAAAGAAAGAAAGAAGGAAAGAGAAAGAAAUGGAAAAAUUGAAAGAUUAG
Molecule: long non-coding RNA, 2224 nt
Organism: Eriocheir sinensis (Chinese mitten crab)
Lineage: Eukaryota; Metazoa; Arthropoda; Malacostraca; Decapoda; Varunidae
Exons: 3
Source: RefSeq, a predicted model, not a curated record